This 601-nucleotide ribosomal RNA is filed under the name uncultured bacterium. RNAcentral's name for it is "bacterial SSU rRNA". It matches the Rfam family "Bacterial small subunit ribosomal RNA", at positions 122 to 718 of the family's 1533-position model. The record is from RNAcentral.
GAAUCUGCCUGGUAGUGGGGGAUAACGUUCGGAAACGGACGCUAAUACCGCAUACGUCCUACGGGAGAAAGCAGGGGACCUUCGGGCCUUGCGCUAUCAGAUGAGCCUAGGUCGGAUUAGCUAGUUGGUGGGGUAAUGGCUCACCAAGGCGACGAUCCGUAACUGGUCUGAGAGGGUGAUCAGUCACACUGGAACUGAGACACGGUCCAGACUCCUACGGGAGGCAGCAGUGGGGAAUAUUGGACAAUGGGCGAAAGCCUGAUCCAGCCAUGCCGCGUGUGUGAAGAAGGUCUUCGGAUUGUAAAGCACUUUAAGUUGGGAGGAAGGGUUGUAGAUUAAUACUCUGCAAUUUUGACGUUACCGACAGAAUAAGCACCGGCUAACUCUGUGCCAGCAGCCGCGGUAAUACAGAGGGUGCAAGCGUUAAUCGGAAUUACUGGGCGUAAAGCGCGCGUAGGUGGUUUGUUAAGUUGGAUGUGAAAUCCCCGGGCUCAACCUGGGAACUGCAUUCAAAACUGACUGACUAGAGUAUGGUAGAGGGUGGUGGAAUUUCCUGUGUAGCGGUGAAAUGCGUAGAUAUAGGAAGGAACACCAGUGGCGA